Molecule: unclassified non-coding RNA, 301 nt
Filed under: uncultured fungus
Lineage: Eukaryota; Fungi
Also listed under: 1 other name
Description: partial contains 5.8S ribosomal RNA, internal transcribed spacer 2, and large subunit ribosomal RNA
Rfam family: 5.8S ribosomal RNA (bases 1-52)
Source: RNAcentral
AACGCACCUUGCGCUCCUUGGUAUUCCGAGGAGCAUGCCUGUUUGAGUGUCAUUAAAUUCUCAACCUUAUCAGCUUUUGUUGAUAAUGGCUUGGAUGUGGGGGUUUUGCUGGCUUCGUCAAGAGGUCUGCUCCCCUUAAAUGCAUUAGCCGGUACCCUGCGUGGACUGUCUAUUGGUGUGAUAAUUAUCUACGCCGUGGAUGUCUGCUCUUUAUGGGUUGUACUGCUUCUAACCAUCCAUUUAGUUGGAUAAUCAAUGACAAUUUGGCCUCAAAUCAGGUAGGACUACCCGCUGAACUUAA